This is a long non-coding RNA of Mya arenaria, 450 nucleotides long. RefSeq lists it as uncharacterized. The record is from RefSeq and is a predicted model, not a curated record. NCBI's taxonomy places the organism in Eukaryota, Metazoa, Mollusca, Bivalvia, Myida, Myidae. The transcript is spliced from 3 exons.
GUUUAUUUUACGAUGUCUUGUCUUGACCUCGUUACCACUGUGAGGGAGCAAAAAAAAUCACGUGACCACAAUGCGAACGACCACGGAGAAAUUCAGACAACAAAACAUGGAACGUUCACAUCAGGCUAGUUCUGUUUAAGUACUGCGGACACGACCGCAUCACAUGCCUGUACAUAUGAGCUAUUCAUGCUGAGAAAAGCCAGUCACGCUUGAAUACACCAAGCUAUAAAACAAGAUGCGGAAGAAAACUGGGCUGAGACUUCACCGGAGAAAGAACAGACGGUCUGACCUUGUCCAUGUUGAUGUACCUCUAAACGUGGUCAUCAAUGCACAUAAUGCACCGAAAUGGACGCAAUCGAAAAGCAACUUCAAAUGCUACUGGGUAGUUCUUUAUAACCAGCGAAGGACAUGUGUAGUCAUUACUCAAUUACAAAGUUGUUUCUGAUUAAA